This 407-nucleotide ribosomal RNA is filed under the name uncultured bacterium. Its description in RNAcentral is "bacterial SSU rRNA". It matches the Rfam family "Bacterial small subunit ribosomal RNA", at positions 355 to 776 of the family's 1533-position model. The record is from RNAcentral.
UGGGGAAUAUUGGGCAAUGGGCGCAAGCCUGACCCAGCAACGCCGCGUGAAGGAAGAAGGCUUUCGGGUUGUAAACUUCUUUUAUCAGGGACGAAGGAUGUGACGGUACCUGAUGAAUAAGCCACGGCUAACUACGUGCCAGCAGCCGCGGUAAUACGUAGGUGGCAAGCGUUGUCCGGAUUUACUGGGUGUAAAGGGCGUGUAGGCGGGACUGCAAGUCAGAUGUGAAAACUAUGGGCUUAACCCAUAGCCUGCAUUUGAAACUGUGGUUCUUGAGUACUGGAGAGGCAGGCGGAAUUCCUCGUGUAGCGGUGAAAUGCGUAGAUAUGAGGAGGAACACCAGUGGCGAAGGCGGCCUGCUGGACAGCAACUGACGCUGAGGCGCGAAAGCGUGGGGAGCAAACAGG